This 148-nucleotide non-coding RNA is filed under the name Pan troglodytes (chimpanzee). The record is from Rfam by way of RNAcentral. Lineage: Eukaryota; Metazoa; Chordata; Mammalia; Primates; Hominidae.
GCCAGGUGUGGUACUGCACACCUGUAGUCCCAGGUACUUGGGAGGCUGAGGCGGGAAGAUCACUUGAGCCCAGGAAGUUUAGACUGCAGUGAACUGAGAUCUUGCCACUGCACUUCAGCUUGGGCAACACAGGGAGGCCCUGUCUCAA